AACGCGAAGAACCUUACCAAGGUUUGACAUGCAGGGAAAAGCCGUAGAGAUACGGUGUCCGUAAGGGUCCUGCACAGGUGGUGCAUGGCUGUCGUCAGCUCGUGUCGUGAGAUGUUGGGUUAAGUCCCGCAACGAGCGCAACCCUCGUCCAAUGUUGCCAGCGGGUAAUGCCGGGGACUCAUUGGAGACUGCCGGGGUCAACUCGGAGGAAGGUGGGGAUGACGUCAAGUCAUCAUGCCCCUUAUGUCUUGGGCUGCAAACAUGCUACAAUGGCCGGUACAAAGCGCUGCGACACCGUGAGGUGAAGCGAAUCGCAUAAAGCCGGUCUCAGUUCGGAUCGGGGUCUGCAACUCGGCCCCGUGAAGCCGGAGUCGCUAGUAAUCGCGGAUCAGCAACGCCGCGGUGAAUACGUUCCCGGGCCUUGUACACACCGCGCAUA
This 439-nucleotide ribosomal RNA is filed under the name uncultured bacterium. Its description in RNAcentral is "bacterial SSU rRNA". It matches the Rfam family "Bacterial small subunit ribosomal RNA", at positions 958 to 1398 of the family's 1533-position model. The record is from RNAcentral.